GAGAAUAUGAAUAUGAUGUUAGUUCAGAUCCAACGCUAUACAGGGACAUUACACAUGCAAGUACGUAUAAUACGUGCGAACGGGUGAGUAGUAAUGAGAGUACAUAAGUGCUCUUGACGGAUGUAGGUAGUAGUAACAAUAAGAGUACUAGCCAUAGACCCGUAGUCGGGGGUGGAAGCCCGAACGAUCACAUAGACCAUAAAAGGUCUACUACUAUUAGUAGCAGCAGUGGGGAAUCAUUGGCAAUGACCUAACGGUUGACCAUGUUACCUGUAUGAACUAUAUCGAUAAACAAAUUUAUAUAUUAUUAAUAUAUAUAUAUUAAUAAUAAAGAAUUAUAAUGAACGAUAUAAAUAAGUUCAACAUAUAUUAAGAAUAAUGAUCAGAUAUAUGUUUAGUCCUGACAAAGUAGGUGUGCCAGCAGUCGCGGUCAUACAUCCAGGGCAAGCGUUGGUCAUCCUUGGCAUAAAGGAUCAGUAGGCGUAAUAGAAUAUAGCAUGUAAGAUAUUAAUUUAUGAAUUAUUACUUGAGAGAUUAAAUACAAUGACAGUAAUAAGACAGCAGAUUUAGAUUAAUAAAGCAUGGACGCUGAGGGAUGAAAGCUAUGGUAGCGAAGGGGAUUCGAUACCCCCCUAGUCAUAGCUGUAAACUAUGUCCAUUCGAUUAGCAAAACUAAUGUGUAAAAUGGACCGCCAGGCUAGUACGUCCGCAAGGAUGGAAUGCAAGACAUUAGACGGUUGGGUACAAUAGCAGUGGAGCAUACUGUUUAAUUGGUCGAUACCCCUUAAACCCUACCUACUCUUGAAUAUUUUAUUAAUUUUAUUAAUAAUUUACAGGCGUUACAUUGUUGUCGUCAGUUCAUGCUUAGUGGUCUACUAUUAAGUUAGUAAAUGAACGUAACCCCUCACAAUAUAUUAUUAUUAUUAUUAUAAUAUAUAUAUAUAUUGUUGUGAAUACCUUAUUGGGUAUUGGAAGCUAGGGAUAACGACUAAUCCGCAUGACCCUUAUGAGUAGGGCUACAGGUGUGCUACAAACGUGUAUACAAUAUAUAUAUUUUAAUUAAAUAUAGAAUAUGAAAUUACAUUAUCAUGAACGUUUCUUUUAAUUGGAUUAUAUCCUGCAAUGGGUAUAUCAAAACGGAAUUGCUAGUAAUGGUGAACUAGAGUGUCACCGUGAAUAUACCAUACCCUUCGUACUAAUCACUCAUCAAUAGCACAGUAGUAUAAGAUUUAUCUAUAGUCUAAAUUAUUAUUUAAACUGGAAAUUUAUCUUAUCCCAUUUGCUAUAAGUUGAAAUACAGUUCCGGUAGGGGAACCUGCCGGGGAUUCAUUAAAUUA
This 1337-nucleotide ribosomal RNA is filed under the name Insectozyma verbasci. Its description in RNAcentral is "Candida verbasci Bacterial small subunit ribosomal RNA". It matches the Rfam family "Bacterial small subunit ribosomal RNA". Lineage: Eukaryota; Fungi; Ascomycota; Pichiomycetes; Serinales; Debaryomycetaceae. The record is from Rfam by way of RNAcentral.